GACGAACGCUGGCGGCGUGCUUAACACAUGCAAGUCGAACGGAAAGGCCCUGCUUUUGUGGGGUGCUCGAGUGGCGAACGCGUGAGUAACACGUGAGUAACCUGCCCUUGACAUUGGGAGAACUUCAGGAAACUGGGGCGAAUACCCGAUAGGAGCUCCUGCUGCAUGGUGGGGGAUGGAAAGAUUCGGCGGUUGGGGAUGGACUCGCGGCUUAUCAGCUUGUUGGUGGGGUAGUGGCUUACCAAGGCUUCGACGGGUAGCCGGCCUGAGAGGGUGACCGGCCACAUUGGGACUGCGAUACGGCCCAGACGGCUACGGGAGGCAGCAGUGGGGAAUAUUGCACAGUGGGCGGAAGCCUGAUGCAGCAACGCCGCGUGCGGGAUGACGGCCUUCGGGUGGUAAACCGCUUUCGCCUGUGACGAAGCGUGAGUGACGGUAAUGGGUAAAGAAGCACCGGCUAACUACGUG
Molecule: ribosomal RNA, 468 nt
Filed under: uncultured bacterium
Lineage: Bacteria
Description: partial 16S ribosomal RNA
Rfam family: Bacterial small subunit ribosomal RNA
Source: RNAcentral